UACGAAGGGGGCUAGCGUUGUUCGGAAUCACUGGGCGUAAAGCGCACGUAGGCGGCUUUGUAAGUCAGGGGUGAAAUCCCGGGGCUCAACCUCGGAACUGCCUCUGAUACUGCAAGUCUCGAGUCCGGAAGAGGUGAGUGGAAUUCCUAGUGUAGAGGUGAAAUUCGUAGAUAUUAGGAAGAACACCAGUGGCGAAGGCGGCUCACUGGUCCGGUACUGACGCUGAGGUGCGAAAGCGUGGGGAGCAAACAGG
RNAcentral lists this ribosomal RNA (253 nucleotides) under uncultured bacterium. RNAcentral describes it as "partial 16S ribosomal RNA". It matches the Rfam family "Bacterial small subunit ribosomal RNA", at positions 524 to 776 of the family's 1533-position model. The record is from RNAcentral.